UGUAAUUCUCCAAAUUCCUCAACAACUUGGAAAGGAGCUGUCAUUGUAUGCUACAUUUUUUUGGCGUUCCUGACCAGAUUCUCUUUACGUCUCUGUAGUAGUCAGAAUUCAUGUUACCGAGCUGUUAUACCCAUCGCAGCUAGUUCCUCUCUCUCAGAUCACGAAAAGAGUUACACAUUAUCAAAACUGAGUGCAGGUGAAGGCACUGGAAGAUAAUACCUUAUUCAACGCUGGUAAAGGCUCUGUGCUGACGAAUAAGGGCACCGUAGAGAUGGAGGCGAGUAUAAUGGAUGGGAGAACAAAAAAUUGCGGUGCCGUUUCUGGACUGUCCACCGUUGUUCAUCCCGUCUCACUGGCUCGAUU
Molecule: long non-coding RNA, 363 nt
Filed under: Physcomitrium patens
Lineage: Eukaryota; Viridiplantae; Streptophyta; Bryopsida; Funariales; Funariaceae
Description: long non-coding RNA (PPAT_LNC013210)
Source: RNAcentral